This is a non-coding RNA of Anas platyrhynchos (mallard), 2458 nucleotides long. The record is from RefSeq and is a predicted model, not a curated record. NCBI's taxonomy places the organism in Eukaryota, Metazoa, Chordata, Aves, Anseriformes, Anatidae.
GUAAAUCAGCUGGUUGGCUGUGCCCGAAUAAGACACUGAAAUAGUAGCUUCACUCAUUAUAUAACAUCUUCCAGCCUUCUCUUUAUAAUUCAAUACCUAGCCACAACAAGAGAUAAAUCUUUAAUGGCACUACACAAUUUGGGUAGGGUAAAUCAUUUACUCAGAUGGAAUUUAUUUCAUCAGAAGUCUGUUAUGCCUGGAGUUUGAGGACAGCUUUUCCUAUUGAGUUUUUAAUGCCGACGGUCCUGUUAUUCAUUGACAUAGUGUUCCAGUAACACACACAUGGAGCAAAAUCCUACUGUAGUAGUGCUCAGACUUCUGAUCAACUCUCUCCAAGGUUGGAUUUGUCAUAAAAGAAGCUUUAACAAGAGUCCACAGGAAUGCACUGUGAUGUCCUCAUGUCCUGUGAAGAGCAGCCAUGACAACACCCCAGAGGUACACGAGUACUAAGAAGAUGAGCUAAUCAGUGUUAUCCUGCAUAAAAAAAGUCUGCUUGUCCAGCCUUCAUAACUCUGCUGAGUAAACCAUAUUUUUUGUUUAAUUUGUGUGCUAUUUCAGUCUCAUCAUGUCCAUGCAGCUUCAUGCAUGUCUUGCUCUUAGUUUUGUUUUUUAUUCCGAUUUGGAUCACUUCUUUCCUACCGCUAUGUGAACACCCACCUCUCAGGCUUGUUCCACACCCUCCUCGCCCAUUACAUGCAUAGACAUUUCAACAGCAGCUAGGGAUUUGGUGGAUUAAUGUAUUUACUUAAACAUCCAGUUGCAGACAGUUUAACAUUCCUAGGGAAGUGUUCUCAUAAUAUAGUUUUCCUAAGAUGGCCUGAAAAUGGGAUCAAAAUCAAGACACUUCAAGUAGCAAGUUAUCCUUUAAAAUCAGGAAUGGUUUUUAAAUCUCAGUUGAUACAUUCUCCUUCCUAAAAGUCACUUUCAUGAAAGUUACCCUCAUUUUUAUGACCUUUUUGCCCUCUUAAAUUUGAAAGUUGUAAAGAAAUAGGAUUUUCCCUUAUUAUUUCAAUGGAUACUCACCACUCAGGCUUUAGACAAAGCAAGUUGUUCUAAAUAACGAGACUUAAUGAGAUGACUGUCUGUAUUUAUGAUUUGACAGUCAGUUAUUUAAGCAUUGUCAGAACAGAAGGUGGUUAAUAGUGGGGAAAAGAAAAAACAAACAAAAAAAAGAACUCCAUAGUUAAAACUGAAAGGCUCUUUAGGUUGCAACCUGGAAGCCUGCCCAGAUUGCUAACCAUUGACAAUGCUGCCUAAUUGCUACGGAGCCCUCAAAUGUGAAGCUUCUUGAUAUCUCAUGCAGAAACAUGUUUGUCUCCCCUGAAGUUCAAUGGUAAUAUUAGUGUAUUAACUGACAAAAGCUGACCACCUGUACUUUCAGUUCUGAUCUUUGCAGACAAGUAGGGGGCUGCCAAGGUGGGGGGCAGCACACAGGGUGCCAGGGAUGCGGGGCCCCUGACCACAGUGGGCUCUCCAGUGUACUCUGCUCCUGCAUGCCACAGCCUGAAGUCCAAUCUUACCCCAACUCUGAGGUCCUCCUCAAGCAUCUAGUAAGGUAAACAGACCACAGUCAUCUCCCAAAGAGGUGAUUUGUGUUGUGGUUUUGUUUUCUGACUGUUCUGAAAGGAUAUUUGCAAUGGUGUCUAUUACAGGUCCUUUUCUGCCUUAGUCUAUCACAUUUUUCACUUCUUGCUUCUUAAUCUCUUCCUUGUUUCCUUUUAUGCUUUGCAACAAACAUGAGGCGGCACAGGAGUUCACAUAAUCUUUGUUUUCUCUGUAACUCCAGAUAUCUGAAGACUUUCAGGGGCAACAAAUAUGCUUUGACAAGGAUACUGAAAACAACUCUCUGGUCUCUUCCAAAGCUACAACAUAAUUAAAGUCUUACUUUUAAAGGAAGUGAAGUAUACAGAACAAAAGAGGAGCAAGUAACGUUUUUAUUAAGCAAGAUGAAUAGAGAACACACUGAAAGCUUUUUCAUGUGUUUUAUUCCCUAUACUUUUUCUUUAUCUGUUGGCAGUGGAGAAACAAUGGAGAAACUGCCAUUUUCUUCCUCUUCCUUCCCCUAGGACUGCAGUACCCUCCAACUGUGUUUGGCAACAUCACCUGAUCAGGACAUGUGCUUUCAGACUAGAGUUAUUAAACACCAUAAGUUAAUCAAAUGACAGACUUCACCAAGGACAUAAAGCAGUGUUUGUCCCACAAACAAUACUGUGCCCCAAGGCUUAAAGAACAGUACAACAAAAGCAAAUUACAGCACACAGAAACUUAUGACUGGAGUAAGGAAAUUUAUGAGUGCUUUUAAAGUUUGUUGACAAACACCUGCCCAAUGUAUUAUUUACCACUCUGCCUGGACAGCACUUCAGUAAACUUACAUUAUGUUUUUCUGAACUAAGAAGGAAAACUAUGCUUGUUUUUUCCACAGCAUGUUGAAAAAAAAAAAAAAAAAAAAAAAAAAAAA